Molecule: ribosomal RNA, 508 nt
Filed under: uncultured bacterium
Lineage: Bacteria
Description: partial 16S ribosomal RNA
Rfam family: Bacterial small subunit ribosomal RNA
Source: RNAcentral
GAUGAACGCUAGCUACAGGCUUAACACAUGCAAGUCGAGGGGAAACGACAUCGAAAGCUUGCUUUUGAUGGGCGUCGACCGGCGCACGGGUGAGUAACGCGUAUCCAACCUGCCCACCACUUGGGGAUAACCUUGCGAAAGAAAGACUAAUACCCAAUGACGUAUCUAGAGGACAUCUGAAAGAGAUUAAAGAAUUAUCGGUGAUGGAUGGGGAUGCGUCUGAUUAGCUUGUUGGCGGGGUAACGGCCCACCAAGGCGACGAGCAGUAGGGGUUCUGAGAGGAAGGUCCCCCACAUUGGAACUGAGACACGGUCCAAACUCCUACGGGAGGCAGCGGUGAGGAAUAUUGGUCAAUGGGCGAGAGCCUGAACCAGCCAAGUGGCGUGCAGGAUGACGGCCCUAUGGGCUGUAAACUGCUUUUAUAGGGGAAUAAAGUGAGUCUCGUGAGACUUUUUGCAUGUACCUUAUGAAUAAGGACCGGCUAAUUCCGUGCCAGCAGCCGCCGUAA